This 253-nucleotide ribosomal RNA is filed under the name uncultured bacterium. Its description in RNAcentral is "partial 16S ribosomal RNA". It matches the Rfam family "Bacterial small subunit ribosomal RNA", at positions 524 to 776 of the family's 1533-position model. The record is from RNAcentral.
UACGUAGGGUGCAAGCGUUAAUCGGAAUUACUGGGCGUAAAGCGUGCGCAGGCGGUUUUGUAAGUCAGAUGUGAAAUCCCCGGGCUUAACCUGGGAACUGCGUUUGAAACUACAAGGCUAGAGUGUGGCAGAGGGGGGUGGAAUUCCACGUGUAGCAGUGAAAUGCGUAGAGAUGUGGAGGAACACCGAUGGCGAAGGCAGCCCCCUGGGUUAACACUGACGCUCAGGCACGAAAGCGUGGGGAGCAAACCGG